Non-coding RNA from Pelobates cultripes (western spadefoot toad), 278 nucleotides. NCBI's taxonomy places the organism in Eukaryota, Metazoa, Chordata, Amphibia, Anura, Pelobatidae. The record is from the annotation of a GenBank genome assembly.
GGUAGCUCCUGUUUAGGAAUGCUUAACAUAGAUCAUUAGACGUCAGUAGAAAUAAUGAAAUAAAGUAGAUCUAGAUUAGGAUUGUAUAACAUAGUCCAUUAGACUUCAGUUGCAAUAAGGAAAUAAAGCAGAUCCUGAUUAGGAAUGUAUAACACAGUCCUUUAGACUUUAGUUACAAUUAUGAAAUAAACGUAGUAAACAUUCAUCAAUUGAUCAGGUUACUUUCAACAAAGCAAAUUGUAUAAGAAGCAAUAUAGGAUCCCAGAGGGCAGACGUAA